Molecule: microRNA precursor, 117 nt
Filed under: Brassica napus (rape)
Lineage: Eukaryota; Viridiplantae; Streptophyta; Magnoliopsida; Brassicales; Brassicaceae
Description: miR396a stem-loop (bna-MIR396a)
Gene: bna-MIR396a
Source: miRBase by way of RNAcentral
UUCCACAGCUUUCUUGAACUUUCUUUUUCAUUUCCCUUAUUUUASAGCGAAAUUAAAUAACUAAAAAUCUCUAACAUUUAACACUCUASAAAAAAAAAGCUCAASAAAGCUGUGGGA